AACAGCUAACUCUUUCCCAGGAGCCAAAAGCUGCCUCUCUUUGCCGUGGUAGGAGCCCCGAGCCCUGCCGCUGCUUCGCCGUCCCUUCAGCCGACCUUACUGCAAGCAAGCCCGGAGCCAAAGCGCUGAAGGCCGCGCAGAGGGAGCCGGGAGAAGAUCUUGACACCACCUGCGCCGAAGUAUUCUAAUUAAGGCCUGGCUCCCAGACCUGAUUAAGCAGCCCCCGCAUCUGACUCCAGUCUGCAGUCAUCCCCGCAAGGCAGGAACUCAAGCUUAUUUUGAGUGAAUGGGAACAAUCUGGAAGGAACAAUGAGAUGUGCUAUUACCAUGUUCGGGAAGAUGAUGGGUGGAGAUUUGACUUUACACUCCGAGGCAAUGAGCAUAGCUCUUUCAGCUGGCACCUCCUUGAUUCUCAUGCCAACAGGCACGCUCUCACUGACUAUGCUGACAUAGAGACUGGCCCCCUGCACCACCUGCCAGAACCCGAAGGCACAUGACCUCAGAAAGGAUGCCAGCCAAAGUCAACACAGGCACAGCAAUGAAGAGAGAAGAUUUAAUGUUACCACAAGCCCAAGUGGAGAAGACCCAAAAUCUGUGGCUUCAGCUAUUAUCUGGCAAUAACCAACCAAAUGUGCAUUUCCAGCAUGGAUUUCUCCCUUACACUCCAGAAUCAUAUACCCGCUUGCUUAUUUGACAUGUCCACUUCGCUACCUAACAGAGAAUCCUGACUAAUGCAAGGCCCAAGAGAAGACAGGGAAUUCUUAACCAAAGCAACAGAGGAAACCAAGACAGAAAAUGAUAAGACAAGCAUAAAUUCAUGGACUAUUCUGAGAUUCAGAUAAUGCAAACACACGUAAGACUAUCAAGUUCAGAGUAUUCAGAGAUUUAAACAAAGGUUUAUGUCACAGAGGCAAGAGUUUAGUCAGAAGCAGGAAGAUUGGGAAGUAAAGGAGUCCUGGGGAUUGUGAGAAAGCUAGGAAAAUGUUUAUGAUUAUAUAAAGAUGUAUAGUAAGGCUUGAUUAACUUUAAAGUCAAGGGAAUGGGAAAUAGUUUCAGUGAAACUCUGGAAAACAUAGUCAGAAGAAGACAAAGCAAAAAUGAUUGAACAGAAGCUGUUUGAAAGUUAUAUUCAAAAUUAAGUAAUAAGACAGAGGCUUUAAGAAGGCCAAGAAAGAAAAGAAGACAUUUUUAUCAGCUGUAAUCAAUGGAAAGAGACUAAGUUAAGAACUGAAAUAAAUCCACUGAUUUAACUAUUUGCAGGCCAUGUCCUUGUCAAUGGCUUUCUGUAGACUGAUGAGGAUGGAAAGCAGAAAUCAGUUAGUUGUCAAAUAAAUGACAGAAGAGGACCUGCAGAGAUUAAGCAAACACUACAUUUUCAAACUCAAGUGUAGUUGUAAAGAGAAAAAUAAUAACAGGAUAGCUAGAGGAAGAUAGGCACUAAGGGUGGUUUGUUUUGCUUUCAGAAAGAUAUUUGAGCAUUGAAUAUGUUUUUCUGUUAUGUGACAAACAUGAAAUCUAGAUUGAACUGCUUAAACAACAGGGAAUUUAUUGAUUCUUUAAAGUAAAAUGAUCCAGAGUAGAUCAGCUUUAGGAAUGGUUUGGUAAGAGUUUCUGCUUCUCUAGUAAGAACUGAUCACUGGAUUCAGCAGUGGGGUCAGCUUCUUUGGGAUCUCUGGUUUCCCCAGUUAGAGACUGUUGGUGAGAUGAAGGAAAAGGAGAUGAUGGGUGCUGGGAGAAAACCAGAAGGUGGUUCCCGUAUAGUCUACAUCUUUGGUAUAAACAUACCUUUCAUCUCAGAUACACACUUUCAGAAAUGCCUGUGCCAUGUGAAAUAUACUUCCUCCCUUCCCAAAUGGAGCAAACUCAAAAUCCCUUCCAGUUACUGCAUCUAGGACAAGCCCAGGGUCUCUGUGUCAGGUGCAGUCUUCUCCAAGAAGAAUGGUUCAGGUACCUGUAGCUAUGUGAGAAGUUGUCCACCACACAACAUCUAGCAUUUAUUAGUGGAGGGAGAACAGGAUCAUCACAGUAAAACUUCCCACUUGGAGAAAAGGAUAACUGAAGUCAACAGUGGGUGCUCUCAGUCAUGCCUAAAUGGAACAGUUCCUAGGGGAGCUUUCUGGAGAAGCUGCAUUGUCCACUCCCUCCUGCCCGUUACAGCAUCAGAAAUGAGUGGAUGGUACUGCUGCCUUGUCUGGAAACUGACUACUUUUAGCAGCCAACUUUCUGCUAAUGUGAAUUUGGGGUCUAGGAAAAGAUCAAAGGGUUGAGCAGAUAGGCUAUUUUAGCUAGGCUUGGUUGAGUUUUAUUAGCAAUACUGCUGUCAUAGGAAAUAAAGAUUCUUAUCUAUUUGUUUCCAGCCCAUAUAAAGGGCAAGCAGUUAAAGCCAUAGAUAUUAUCUGCUAAGAGUUGUUAAACCCAGACCUGGGCCUAAAAUAUCUGUUUCCUAGUAGCCCAGUUUUGGUUUCCCUCAACUCCUAGACCUCAGUAAAUAGUUUCCACCCCAAAUCAUCUGACUGACAAGACAAAUAUAAUAUGCUUCUUGCCCCCUGCCUGCAUCCCAGGUGUUUCCCCUAAACAGGAGUGAUGUUUUAUCUUUCGACAGGCAGAGAAUUUGUAAUUGAGGAAGUGGGAAUAAGAUUGGGAAAUCAGGCCCCUCCUGUACCUUAAAUUUAUCUCUCUCUCUCUGCUUCUGCUUAUAUUAACCUCCACUUAGGGCCAGGAAUAUGGUCUUCCAACCCUACAAGAAACCAGAUAAUCCAAGUCAUUUUUUGGUAACAGUCUGCAGGCAGAAGACAUUCCUUAACAAAACAUAUUUUUUCUCCUUCCAACUUUCAGGAGACCUAAUUUCAAAUGAAGCAUAUCUCUUUAUCACAAGACAUUACUGAACAUUAAAAGAAGACUUCAACACAUUUAAGCAUUCUGACCUUUCUUACAUGAUCCUUAUCCAAGGGUUCAAUAGGCCAUAGUUUAAAAAAUUCUUUUGUAACUACAAAUUAGGAAGGCCAACUUCACAGGGCAAGACAGAACAAUUCUCUACCUACUCUUUUCUUGGUUCCACCAGUUCCACAAUUUCACUCACAACAUCCUAUUUUCUUUCGCUGAAGUCGUUAUCAGUGUAGCUCAGGAAGACUCAUUGUGCUGCAACAAUAAAUGUGGCUGGUCAGUCAGUAGUUUGGCUUCGGUUUGUUUAUCUCAUGCAUUUGAACAAGUCCAGAGACAGUAGAGUCUUCAGUUAAUUUUUUAUCAAGGCUCCGUUUCUCCGGCUGUCUCUCAGGUCUGCUAAUAUUUGAGCAGGAAAUUCAUCCCCAGGCUGGCUUCUCUUAGAGUAAUAAGGUUAUGCCGACUUCACAUCUGCAAACCACAGAAACCUUGAAUUCCCACAGUAUUCUCUAGAAUUUGAUUGGAUUUGUGAUUGACACAUAUCUGCUACUGAACUAAUCUACAGGUCCAGGCAGGUCACAUGAGCUGAGUGAUCAAGUCUUAGCAAGAUUCUUCAGAACUGAAUUCAUCCACUCAAGAGCCAUAUGGAUUCUCAAAACUAGAAACCAGCAGCUGUGGAAGUUGCAGUAAAACCAUAAAUUUGAGAAACAUUUAAUUAAUGCCACUAUAAUAUUAAGAAGAGAAAUUGAAGACAUAGUAAAGUAGGAAUUUUUCAAAGGAGGAAGAUCCUUUGAAGAGAUGAAAGUAAAGUGGGAAGGGAUCAUGUUCAAGUAGGACAAAAAUAUGUCAUAUUGCCAUAUAUUAAUUACUUAAUAAUCCAAAUUGUAUUUUACAAUAGUCAUCACCACUGCCUGCAUUUCCAAAGUCAACCUGUCUAACCUGGAAACAGACUACUCUUGGUUUUAUUUCCAGUGAAAUUUUUGUUGAGAUAAUUAUAGAUUCACAUGCAGUUGUAAAAAAAAUAGUAACAGAGAAAUGCAGUAUAUACUUCACCCAGUUUGCCCACCAGUGACAUUAAAAAAGAAAAAAAAGACACAGGAGAUUAUAGUAGCCAGGAUAUUUUUUUUUUCAGAUUUACAUUGAUACAAUGCACCACCUCUCUUGGAUUUUGAAACAAAUUUGAAGACAGUGUAAUUGAUUCAUAAAAGGGGAAAAAGCAGUUCAGCUGAGCAAGUUUUUGUCUGAAAACUUAUAUUGCUUCUGAGGAAAAACAGUUAUCUUCAAUAAUGAGAUGUAUGGGAAAAACUGGGGAGGAAGGUGGUCAUGGUGAAUCAUACUGAAAAUACCAGCAUUUUUCGAGAAAACUUUGCAUACAUUGUAGUCCAUAUUAAGACGCUAGUGAUCUUCUAUUUGUCAUUAGCUGUUAUAUGGUAAGAGCUGUUGUUUUAACAUUGUUCUGCUUUUCUAGUAAAAAGCUUGAGAAGAUGUGAUAAAAGUAGUUAUAAAACAUUUCAGAGCAGACUGGUUUUAAAUCAAGGUGAUUAAAACUAAUUAUUUCUAAGUUUCUAUUAUUUAUAGUUAAUUAGUUACUUUGCCUGCUUAAAAUUUCUUUAACCAUGCAUUCCAAAUUCAUUAAAAAUAGCAUUGUAUUUUAGUAUCAAAAUAAACACAAAGCAUGAGAAACAAAA
Molecule: long non-coding RNA, 4568 nt
Organism: Manis javanica (Malayan pangolin)
Lineage: Eukaryota; Metazoa; Chordata; Mammalia; Pholidota; Manidae
Source: RefSeq, a predicted model, not a curated record